UUUUAUGGAGAGUUUGAUCCUGGCUCAGGACGAACGCUGGCGGCGUGCCUAAUACAUGCAAGUCGAGCGAAUGGAUGGGAGCUUGCUCCCUGAAAUUAGCGGCGGACGGGUGAGUAACACGUGGGCAACCUGCCCUGUAGACUGGGAUAACUUCGGGAAACCGAAGCUAAUACCGGAUAAUCUUUGGAGCCUCAUGGUUCUAAAGUGAAAGUUGGGUUUACCU
Molecule: ribosomal RNA, 223 nt
Filed under: Anaerobacillus alkalilacustris
Lineage: Bacteria; Bacillati; Bacillota; Bacilli; Caryophanales; Bacillaceae
Description: partial 16S ribosomal RNA
Rfam family: Bacterial small subunit ribosomal RNA
Source: RNAcentral